AACGAACGCUGGCGGCAGGCCUAACACAUGCAAGUCGAGCGCGCCCUUCGGGGUGAGCGGCGGACGGGUGAGUAACGCGUGGGAACGUGCCCUUUUCUACGGAAUAGCCUCGGGAAACUGAGAGUAAUACCGUAUACGCCCUUUGGGGGAAAGAUUUAUCGGAAAAGGAUCGGCCCGCGUUGGAUUAGGUAGUUGGUGGGGUAAUGGCCUACCAAGCCGACGAUCCAUAGCUGGUUUGAGAGGAUGAUCAGCCACACUGGGACUGAGACACGGCCCAGACUCCUACGGGAGGCAGCAGUGGGAAUCUUAGACAAUGGGGGCAACCCUGAUCUAGCCAUGCCGCGUGAGUGAUGAAGGCCUUAGGGUUGUAAAGCUCUUUCAGCUGGGAAGAUAAUGACGGUACCAGCAGAAGAAGCCCCGGCUAACUCCGUG
This 432-nucleotide ribosomal RNA is filed under the name uncultured bacterium. RNAcentral describes it as "partial 16S ribosomal RNA". It matches the Rfam family "Bacterial small subunit ribosomal RNA", at positions 29 to 507 of the family's 1533-position model. The record is from RNAcentral.